AUUGAACGCUGGCGGCAGGCCUAACACAUGCAAGUCGAACGGUAACAGGAAGCAGCUUGCUGCUUUGCUGACGAGUGGCGGACGGGUGAGUAAUGUCCGGGAAACUGCCCGAUGGAGGGGGAUAACUACUGGAAACGGUAGCUAAUACCGCAUAACGUCGCAAGACCAAAGAGGGGGACCUUAGGGCCUCUUGCCAUCGGAUGUGCCCAGAUGGGAUUAGCUAGUAGGUGGGGUAACGGCUCACCUAGGCGACGAUCCCUAGCUGGUCUGAGAGGAUGACCAGGCCCACUGGGACUGAGACACGGUCCAGACUCCUACGGGAGGCAGCAGUGGGGAAUAUUGCACAAUGGGCGCAAUCCUGAUGCAGCCAUGCCGCGUGGAUGAAGAAGGGCUUCGGGUUGUAAAGUACUUUCAGCGGGGAGGAAGGGAGUAAAGUUAAUACCUUUGCUCAUUGACGUUACCCGCAGAAGAAGCACCGGCUAACUCCGUG
RNAcentral lists this ribosomal RNA (490 nucleotides) under uncultured bacterium. Its description in RNAcentral is "partial 16S ribosomal RNA". It matches the Rfam family "Bacterial small subunit ribosomal RNA", at positions 30 to 507 of the family's 1533-position model. The record is from RNAcentral.